This 253-nucleotide ribosomal RNA is filed under the name uncultured bacterium. Its description in RNAcentral is "partial 16S ribosomal RNA". It matches the Rfam family "Bacterial small subunit ribosomal RNA", at positions 524 to 776 of the family's 1533-position model. The record is from RNAcentral.
UACGUAGGGUGCGAGCGUUAAUCGGAAUUACUGGGCGUAAAGCGUGCGCAGGCGGUUCGUUGUGUCGGUGGUGAAAUCCCCGGGCUUAACCUGGGAAUGGCCAUGGAAACUGGCGAACUGGAGUGCGGCAGAGGGGGGUGGAAUUCCGAGUGUAGAGGUGAAAUUCGUAGAUAUUCGGAGGAACACCAGAAGCGAAGGCGGCUCACUGGCCCGAGACUGACGCUGAGGCGCGAAAGCGUGGGGAGCAAACAGG